RNAcentral lists this long non-coding RNA (321 nucleotides) under Homo sapiens (human). RNAcentral's name for it is "non-protein coding lnc-PIGL-2:1". It matches the Rfam family "Metazoan signal recognition particle RNA". From Rfam's summary of the family: The signal recognition particle (SRP) is a universally conserved ribonucleoprotein. It is involved in the co-translational targeting of proteins to membranes. The eukaryotic SRP consists of a 300-nucleotide 7S RNA and six proteins: SRPs 72, 68, 54, 19, 14, and 9. The record is from RNAcentral. Lineage: Eukaryota; Metazoa; Chordata; Mammalia; Primates; Hominidae.
GCCAGGCGUCGUGACUCACACCUGUAUUCCCAUCUACUUGGGAGGCUGAGGCAAGAGGAUCCCUUGAGCCCAAUAGUUCUAGGCUACAGCUCUGGGCUAUGCCAAUCAGAUGUCUACACUAAGUUCAGCAUUUAUAUGAUGACGUCCCAGAAGCAGGAGGACUACCAGGUUGCCUAAGGAGGGAUGAACCCACCCAGGUUACAAAAAAAAAACAAAAAAAAUGGAGCAGGUCACAACUCCUGUGCUGACCAGUAGUGGGAAUGCACCUAUGAAAACCACUGCACUCCAGCCUAGGCAACAUAGCAAGGCACCAUCUUCGUU